Molecule: ribosomal RNA, 492 nt
Filed under: uncultured bacterium
Lineage: Bacteria
Description: partial 16S ribosomal RNA
Rfam family: Bacterial small subunit ribosomal RNA
Source: RNAcentral
AGUGAACGCUGGCGGUAGGCCUAACACAUGCAAGUCGAACGGCAGCACAGUAAGAGCUUGCUCUUACGGGUGGCGAGUGGCGGACGGGUGAGGAAUACAUCGGAAUCUACUUUUUCGUGGGGGAUAACGUAGGGAAACUUACGCUAAUACCGCAUACGACCUACGGGUGAAAGCAGGGGAUCUUCGGACCUUGCGCGAUUGAAUGAGCCGAUGUCGGAUUAGCUAGUUGGCGGGGUAAAGGCCCACCAAGGCGACGAUCCGUAGCUGGUCUGAGAGGAUGGUGGGCGGGAGGGGAGGGGAGGCGGGGUCGAGGCUCCUACGGGAGGCAGCAGUGGGGAAUAUUGGACAAUGGGCGCAAGCCUGAUCCAGCCAUACCGCGUGGGUGAGGAAGGCCUUCGGGUUGUAAAGCCCUUUUGUUGGGAAAGAAAAGCAGCAGGUUAAUACCCCGCUGUUCUGACGGUACCCAAAGAAUAAGCACCGGCUAACUUCGUG